CCUACGGGGGGCUGCAGUGGGGAAUAUUGGACAAUGGGGGGAACCCUGAUCCAGCCAUGCCGCGUGUGUGAAGAAGGCCCUCGGGUUGUAAAGCACUUUCAGUGAGGAAGAACGCCUGGUGGUUAAUACCCAUCAGGAAAGACAUCACUCACAGAAGAAGCACCGGCUAACUCUGUGCCAGCAGCCGCGGUAAUACGGAGGGUGCGAGCGUUAAUCGGAAUUACUGGGCGUAAAGCGCGCGUAGGUGGCUUGAUAAGCCGGUUGUGAAAGCCCCGGGCUCAACCUGGGAACGGCAUCCGGAACUGUCAAGCUAGAGUGCAGGAGAGGAAGGUAGAAUUCCCGGUGUAGCGGUGAAAUGCGUAGAGAUCGGGAGGAAUACCAGUGGCGAAGGCGGCCUUCUGGACUGACACUGACACUGAGGUGCGAAAGCGUGGGUAGCAAACAGGAUUAGAUACCCUAGUAGUC
Molecule: ribosomal RNA, 465 nt
Filed under: Vreelandella stevensii
Lineage: Bacteria; Pseudomonadati; Pseudomonadota; Gammaproteobacteria; Oceanospirillales; Halomonadaceae
Description: partial 16S ribosomal RNA
Rfam family: Bacterial small subunit ribosomal RNA
Source: RNAcentral